UGCGCAGGCGGAAGAUUAGGUCGGAUGUGAAAACCCCGGGCUUAACCCGGGGCCUGCAUUCGAAACCAACCUUCUUGAGUAUCGGAGAGGAAAGCGGAACUCCAGGUGUAGCGGUGAAAUGCGUAGAUAUCUGGAGGAACACCGGUGGCGAAGGCGGCUUUCUGGACGAAUACUGACGCUCAUGCACGAAGGCUAGGGGAGCAAACA
RNAcentral lists this ribosomal RNA (207 nucleotides) under uncultured bacterium. RNAcentral describes it as "partial 16S ribosomal RNA". It matches the Rfam family "Bacterial small subunit ribosomal RNA", at positions 568 to 774 of the family's 1533-position model. The record is from RNAcentral.